CGGGAGCUUGCACAGGUGCUGCAUGGCUGUCGUCAGCUCGUGUCGUGAGAUGUUCGGUUAAGUCCGCUAACGAGCGCAACCCUCGCUGUGUGUUAUAUGUGUCACACGGGACUGCCGGUCUUAAGCCGGAGGAAGGUGGGGAUGAUGUCAAGUCAGCAUGGCCUUUAUAUCCUGGGCUACACACACGCUACAAUGGCCAACACAAUAGGUUGCUAAGCCGCGAGGUGGCGCCAAUACCAUAAAGUUGGUCUCAGUUCAGAUUGUAGGCUGCAACCCGCCUGCAUGAAGAUGGAGUUGCUAGUAACCGCAGGUCAGCUAUACUGCGGUGAAUACGUUCCCGGGGCUU
This 346-nucleotide ribosomal RNA is filed under the name uncultured Leptolinea sp. RNAcentral describes it as "bacterial SSU rRNA". It matches the Rfam family "Bacterial small subunit ribosomal RNA", at positions 1023 to 1382 of the family's 1533-position model. The record is from RNAcentral. Lineage: Bacteria; Bacillati; Chloroflexota; Anaerolineae; Anaerolineales; Anaerolineaceae.